AAUAGAUACCCAGGUAGUCCACGCCGUAAACGAUGAGUGCUAAGUGUUAGAGGGUUUCCGCCCUUUAGUGCUGCAGCUAACGCAUUAAGCACUCCGCCUGGGGAGUACGGUCGCAAGACUGAAACUCAAAGGAAUUGACGGGGGCCCGCACAAGCGGUGGAGCAUGUGGUUUAAUUCGAAGCAACGCGAAGAACCUUACCAGGUCUUGACAUCCUCUGACAACUCUAGAGAUAGAGCGUUCCCCUUCGGGGGACAGAGUGACAGGUGGUGCAUGGUUGUCGUCAGCUCGUGUCGUGAGAUGUUGGGUUAAGUCCCGCAACGAGCGCAACCCUUGAUCUUAGUUGCCAGCAUUCAGUUGGGCACUCUAAGGUGACUGCCGGUGACAAACCGGAGGAAGGUGGGGAUGACGUCAAAUCAUCAUGCCCCUUAUGACCUGGGCUACACACGUGCUACAAUGGAUGGUACAAAGGGCUGCAAGACCGCGAGGUCAAGCCAAUCCCAUAAAACCAUUCUCAGUUCGGAUUGUA
Molecule: ribosomal RNA, 527 nt
Filed under: uncultured bacterium
Lineage: Bacteria
Description: bacterial SSU rRNA
Rfam family: Bacterial small subunit ribosomal RNA
Source: RNAcentral